This is a long non-coding RNA of Gossypium arboreum, 635 nucleotides long. RefSeq lists it as uncharacterized. The transcript has 2 exons. The record is from RefSeq and is a predicted model, not a curated record. NCBI's taxonomy places the organism in Eukaryota, Viridiplantae, Streptophyta, Magnoliopsida, Malvales, Malvaceae.
ACUGCCACUUUUUAAAAAAAAAUUCUGGAACUCUCCCUUCUUUUCUCUGCUAGGGUUUUGAACCCUAGCCUUUGCACCGCUGUUAUGCCUCCAUCGUGGCCCACAGCGUGCGGUGGUCGUGGUCGCGCAAAGAGGGGAUUUUAGCCCUCAUUUGGAACGCGUCUAGAGGUCGAACCUUCUCAACCCAAAAGCCGAAAGAAAGGUCCUUGGCUUCCCUUUAAGCCCGAGUUUGACGCCAGGAGAGAAGUUCCCGACGACGACAUCGCAGGGUCGUUCAGGUCUAGACGGAAGUAAUAGGACGGGGUUGGCGCAAAGACGAGUAGAGGUGGUCAGGCCUCGGGGCCAGGCGUGGGCGAUAUGCUCGAGGCAAAUGGGUGAGCGGAAGGUGGAGGCUGCUGGUCAAGGGCAAGGGUUCUGUUCAGUUUAAAAUUUUGGGUCAGUUAGGCCUUUAGGGUUUUCUAAUUAUUGGGUUAUUUUGGGUUUUGGUUUAGGUUAGGGAUUUGGGCUUGUUGAGUCUGGGCCGGGCAAAUUUGGGCCUGUACAACGUAUAUGGAAAACUAUUCUUUUAUAGGUGUGUAGCAUGAUUGUAGAGAAUUGAUAAUACUUUAGUAAAAUUUUAGAAUAAUCCUCCAUAA